RNAcentral lists this ribosomal RNA (439 nucleotides) under uncultured bacterium. RNAcentral describes it as "partial 16S ribosomal RNA". It matches the Rfam family "Bacterial small subunit ribosomal RNA", at positions 339 to 795 of the family's 1533-position model. The record is from RNAcentral.
CUACGGGUCGCUGCAGUGAGGAAUAUUGCACAAUGGGGGGAACCCUGAUGCAGCAACGCCGCGUGGAGGAUGACGCAUUUCGGUGUGUAAACUCCUUUUAUAUGUCAAGAAAAUGACGGUAGCAUAUGAAUAAGCACCGGCUAACUCCGUGCCAGCAGCCGCGGUAAUACGGAGGGUGCAAGCGUUACUCGGAAUCACUGGGCGUAAAGGACGCGUAGGCGGGUUGGAAAGUCAGGUGUGAAAUCCUACAGCUUAACUAUAGAACUGCACUUGAAACUUCUAAUCUAGAGUAUGGGAGGGGGAGAUGGAAUUAGUGGUGCAGGGGUAAAAUCCGUAGAUAUCACUAGGAAUACCUGAAGCGAAGGCGACCUCCUGGAACAUUACUGACGCUAAGGCGUGAAAGCGUGGGGAGCAAACAGGAUUAGAUACCCCUGUAGUC